GAUGAAGAACGUAGCGAAAUGCGAUACGUAAUGUGAAUUGCAAAUUCAGUGAAUCAUCGAAUCUUUGAACGCACAUUGCGCCCGCCAGUAUUCUGGCGGGCAUGCCUGUCUGAGCGUCAUUUCAACCCUCAAGCAACUUCUGCUUGGUGUUGGGGAUCGGCCGUCAAACGCCGCCCCCGAAAUCUAUUGGCGAUCUCGCUGUAGCUUCCUAUGCGUAGUAGUAACAUCUCGCAUCUGGAGAGCGGCGCGGUCAUGCCGUAAAACACCCAACUUCUCAGGUUGACCUCAGAUCAGGUAGGAAUACCCGCUGAACUUAAGCAUAUCAAUAAGCGGAGGA
RNAcentral lists this unclassified non-coding RNA (337 nucleotides) under soil metagenome. Its description in RNAcentral is "partial contains 5.8S ribosomal RNA, internal transcribed spacer 2, and large subunit ribosomal RNA". The stretch from base 1 to 119 matches the Rfam family "5.8S ribosomal RNA", at positions 35 to 154 of the family's 154-position model. The record is from RNAcentral.